AGAGUUUGAUCCUGGCUCAGAACGAACGCUGGCGGCGUGGAUAAGACAUGCAAGUCGAGCGGGAACUUUUCUGGUAGCAAUACCGGGAAAGUUCUAGCGGCGAACGGGUGCGUAACACGUGGGCAAUCUGCCUUAAAGUGGGGGAUAGCUCGGCGAAAGCCGAAUUAAUACCGCAUAUGAUGAGAGACGACAUCGUUUCGAAAUCAAAGCCGGGGCGACCUGGCGCUUUUUGAGGAGCCCGCGGCCUAUCAGCUAGUUGGUGAGGUAACGGCCCACCAAGGCUAUGACGGGUAGCUGGUCUGAGAGGACGACCAGUCACACUGGAACUGAGACACGGUCCAGACACCUACGGGUGGCAGCAGUCGAGAAUUUUUCUCAAUGGGGGAAACCCUGAAGGAGCGACGCCGCGUGGAGGAUGAAGGUCUUCGGGUUGUAAACUCCUGUCAUUUGAGAACAAGCGUCGGUAAGUAACUACUACCGGCUUGAUAGUAUCAGAAGAGGAAGAGACGGCUAACUCUGUGCCAGCAGCCGCGGUAAUACAGAGGUCUCAAGCGUUGUUCGGAUUCAUUGGGCGUAAAGGGUGUGUAGGUGGCGCCGUAAGUCGGGUGUGAAAUCUCGGGGCUUAACUCCGAAACUGCAUUCGAUACUGCGGUGCUUGAGGACUGGAGAGGAGACUGGAAUUCAUGGUGUAGCAGUGAAAUGCGUAGAGAUCAUGAGGAAGACCAGUGGCGAAGGCGGGUCUCUGGACAGUUCCUGACACUGAGACACGAAGGCCAGGGGAGCAAACGGGAUUAGAUACCCCGGUAGUCC
This 810-nucleotide ribosomal RNA is filed under the name uncultured bacterium. RNAcentral describes it as "bacterial SSU rRNA". It matches the Rfam family "Bacterial small subunit ribosomal RNA", at positions 8 to 796 of the family's 1533-position model. The record is from RNAcentral.